This 380-nucleotide ribosomal RNA is filed under the name Enterobacter asburiae. Its description in RNAcentral is "bacterial SSU rRNA". Lineage: Bacteria; Pseudomonadati; Pseudomonadota; Gammaproteobacteria; Enterobacterales; Enterobacteriaceae. The record is from RNAcentral.
UAUUGGUGCCUUCGGGACUCUGAGACAGGUGCUGCAUGGCUGUCGUCAGCUCGUGUUGURAAAUGUUGGGUUAAGUCCCGCAACGAGCGCAACCCUUAUCCUUUGUUGCCAGCGGUCCGGCCGGGAACUCAAAGGAGACUGCCAGUGAUAAACUGGAGGAAGGUGGGGAUGACGUCAAGUCAUCAUGGCCCUUACGAGUAGGGCUACACACGUGCUACAAUGGCGCAUACAAAGAGAAGCGACCUCGCGAGAGCAAGCGGACCUCAUAAAGUGCGUCGUAGUCCGGAUUGGAGUCUGCAACUCGACUCCAUGAAGUCGGAAUCGCUAGUAAUCGUAGAUCAGAAUGCUACGGUGAAUACGUUCCCGGGUCUUGUACACAC